Molecule: ribosomal RNA, 537 nt
Filed under: uncultured Sporosarcina sp.
Lineage: Bacteria; Bacillati; Bacillota; Bacilli; Caryophanales; Caryophanaceae
Description: bacterial SSU rRNA
Rfam family: Bacterial small subunit ribosomal RNA
Source: RNAcentral
CGGCGGACGGGUGAGUAACACGUGGGCAACCUGCCCUACAGAUGGGGAUAACUCCGGGAAACCGGGGCUAAUACCGAAUAAUCAGUUUAUCCGCAUGGGUGAACUCUGGAAGACGGUUUCGGCUGUCACUGUAGGAUGGGCCCGCGGCGCAUUAGCUAGUUGGUGGGGUAAUGGCCUACCAAGGCAACGAUGCGUAGCCGACCUGAGAGGGUGAUCGGCCACACUGGGACUGAGACACGGCCCAGACUCCUACGGGAGGCAGCAGUAGGGAAUCUUCCACAAUGGACGAAAGUCUGAUGGAGCAAUGCCGCGUGAGCGAAGAAGGUUUUCGGAUCGUAAAGCUCUGUUGUAAGGGAAGAACAAGUACGGGAGUAACUGCCCGUGCCAUGACGGUACCUUAUUAGAAAGCCACGGCUAACUACGUGCCAGCAGCCGCGGUAAUACGUAGGUGGCAAGCGUUGUCCGGAAUUAUUGGGCGUAAAGCGCGCGCAGGCGGUUCUUUAAGUCUGAUGUGAAAGCCCACGGCUCAACCGUGGA